CACAGGUGAUCGGGUAGAGUAUACUAAGGUGUAUGAGAUAAUUGUGCUGAAGGAACUCGGCAAAUUGUAUGUGUAACUUCGGGAGAAACAUAACCUGCUUUGGGUAACCAAGGUUAGGUAUAAUAGAAAUGGGGGAAGCGACUGUUUAUCAAAAACACAGGACUCUGCAAAAUCGUAAGAUGAAGUAUAGAGUCUGACGCCUGCCCGGUGCUGGCAAGUGAAGUUCAGAUGUGAAUAGCAUUUAGGAUGAAACACCAUGUAAACGGCGGCCGUAACUAUAACGGUCCAAAGGUAGCGAAAUUCCUUGUCGGGUAAGUUCCGACCUGCAUGAAUGGCGUAACGACUUCCCCGCUGUCUCCAGCACAAGCUCAGUGAAAUUGAAAUCCCCGUGAAGAUGCGGGGUACCUGCGGCAAGACGGAAAGACCCCGUGCACCUUUACUGCAACCUUGUAUCGAUGUAUUUUUGGUCAAUUGUACAGUGUAGAUGGUAAGCAAUGACCGUUGGGUCCAAGCUCAACGUAAGCUGUCAAUGAAACACCAUCCUGUUGCCAAACAACAUCUUUAUUGUUACAAGCCAAUCUUGAUACAAGACAAUGCAAGGUGGGUAGUUUGACUGGGGCGGUCACCUCCCAAAGAGUAACGGAGGUGUGCACAAGGUAGGCUCAUGACGUUUGGAAAUCGUCGGUAGAGUACAAUGGCAUAUGCCUGCUUAAGACUGCGAGGCAGACAUGUCGAGCAGAGACGAAAGUCGGUCAUAGUGAUCCAACGAAUCCAAGUGGAAGGGUCGUUGCUCAACGGAUAAAAGGUACGCCGGGGAUAACAGGCUAAUAACCCCUAAGAGUUCUUAUCGACGGGGUUGCUUGGCACCUCGAUGUCGACUCAUCGCAUCCUGGGGCUGAACAAGGUCCCAAGGGUAUGGCUGUUCGCCAUUUAAAGCGGUACGUGAGUUGGGUUCAGAACGUCGCAAGACAGUUCGGUCCCUAUCUGCCGUGGGAGUAAGAAUGUUGACGGAACCUGUCUCUAGUACGAGAGGACCGAGAUGGACAUACCUCUGGUAUACCUGUUGUCGUUGCCAAACGGCAUGGCAGGAUAGCUAAGUAUGGAAUAGAUAACAGCUGAAUGCAUCUAAGCCGGAAGCUAAACCGAAGAAACAUUCUAUUAAGAGAAGUGAUAGACUAUCACGUUGAUAGGCCAGAUGUGUAAGUAUGGUAACAUAUUUCAGCUAACUGGUACUAAUAUCUCGAAAAUUAUAACAA
RNAcentral lists this ribosomal RNA (1256 nucleotides) under Candidatus Hodgkinia cicadicola. Its description in RNAcentral is "bacterial LSU rRNA". It matches the Rfam family "Bacterial large subunit ribosomal RNA", at positions 1658 to 2925 of the family's 2925-position model. The record is from RNAcentral. Lineage: Bacteria; Pseudomonadati; Pseudomonadota; Alphaproteobacteria; Hyphomicrobiales.